UCCCAGGUGGCUUAGGGGUAAAGAUUCCAUCUGCCAAGGAGGAGAUGCAGGUUCAAUACCUGCAUUGGGAA
This 71-nucleotide transfer RNA is filed under the name Ovis aries (sheep). It matches the Rfam family "tRNA". From Rfam's summary of the family: Transfer RNA (tRNA) molecules are approximately 80 nucleotides in length. Their secondary structure includes four short double-helical elements and three loops (D, anti-codon, and T loops). Lineage: Eukaryota; Metazoa; Chordata; Mammalia; Artiodactyla; Bovidae. The record is from Rfam by way of RNAcentral.